Molecule: non-coding RNA, 97 nt
Organism: Mycena galericulata
Lineage: Eukaryota; Fungi; Basidiomycota; Agaricomycetes; Agaricales; Mycenaceae
Source: the annotation of a GenBank genome assembly
GGCCUGGUAGCACAAUGAUUAGUGCGUCUGCCAGCAUUUAAAAGAUGGUGAAGGAAAAUAUACGCAGAUGAUCCCGGUUCGAUUCCGGGUCAGGUCC